CGGGUGGAGGCUCCAUCCUGGGGCGCCUGGGUGGGAGAGGUGGGGAGAACACCUGGAUAUCAGAUCCAUCCUCUCCCUAGGAGGUCUCCCGCUUGCUCCAGUCUCCGCCUGCCUCUUCAGAGCUGACGCCUCUCUCCAGACGUACGUGAUCCCUACUACAGUUGCGGUCCCUCUCCCAAAAUAUGACUCUUAAAACUCAGUUGUGGACCCCUUCCCGAAUGUGUUCCCAGCUUCCGAGUAGGAUUUCCUCCCCUUCCGGAUGUGCCUUCUGCACUUAGCGAUGUGUCUCAGAUACUAGGCGGCUGUUGCCCCUCUCCCAGAUGGGGCCCCCAUGGGUUGCCACAUGCAGCUGUGCCCCUACUUCCAAGAGAUGCUCUCGUAUCCAG
This is a long non-coding RNA of Cervus elaphus (red deer), 386 nucleotides long. RefSeq lists it as uncharacterized. The record is from RefSeq and is a predicted model, not a curated record. The transcript has 3 exons. Lineage: Eukaryota; Metazoa; Chordata; Mammalia; Artiodactyla; Cervidae.